GCUGAGCUGUGAUGGCGAGCGAAAUAUAGUAGCGAAGUUCCUGAUUCCACACUGCCAAGAAAAGCCUCUAGCGAGGUGAGAGGUGCCCGUACCGCAAACCGACACAGGUAGGCGAGGAGAGAAUCCUAAGGUGAUCGAGAGAACUCUCGUUAAGGAACUCGGCAAAAUGACCCCGUAACUUCGGGAGAAGGGGUGCUCUGUUAGGGUGCAAGCCCGAGAGAGCCGCAGUGAAUAGGCCCAGGCGACUGUUUAGCAAAAACACAGGUCUCUGCGAAGCCGUAAGGCGAAGUAUAGGGGCUGACGC
Molecule: ribosomal RNA, 304 nt
Filed under: Bacillus licheniformis
Lineage: Bacteria; Bacillati; Bacillota; Bacilli; Caryophanales; Bacillaceae
Description: bacterial LSU rRNA
Rfam family: Bacterial large subunit ribosomal RNA
Source: RNAcentral